RNAcentral lists this long non-coding RNA (1217 nucleotides) under Ficedula albicollis (Collared flycatcher). Its description in RNAcentral is "lncRNA (ENSFALG00000018078.2)". The record is from RNAcentral. Lineage: Eukaryota; Metazoa; Chordata; Aves; Passeriformes; Muscicapidae.
AGAAACCCCUGGGUUUGGCCAUUUUGGGACAAAAUACUGUUCCUUUCCCUUUCAUCAUCCUGGAAUCUCUCACCUUGUUUUGCUUCUCAACUUUGGCUGCCACUAACUGCAAAAGCGAUUUUUGAUUAGCUGGGGAUUUUCAAUGCAAGAGGGUUCUUCUGCAAGUCCUGGGAAAAGUUAGGGGUGCUUUACUCCCCAGAUAAGGUUCAGUAUAGCAUUUAGACCAGGCCCAGGCACCUUGAGAAGCAUUAAAAUUCUUAGUAGGUUAGCCUUAUUGUGCAAAACUGCAUGGCUUUAUACUCAUUGUAUGACAAAAGGGAAUGGCACCAACAGGUUAAAUUGUUGGUCUAUAAGAUCAGAUUCUGGUAACUGAGUUUACCCCAAAGUGCAGCAUCUGUUCCUCAUGGUUGUGCCAUGUGGAGACAGGGGUACUGCUUAUGUAACAACUGCUGCUCAUUGUGGAGUGUCACCCUGAAGCUACAUGGUAAGGACAACUCUGAUAAAAAAACCAAUAUUCUGUGAGAGUUUCAGAGCAGUCAUUAUCAUUUAAAAGAGCGAUAUCCUGUGAAAGCAAGUUCCCUUUUCACAGGUGCUCAUCACGUUUUCAUUUUUUGGCAGAACCAGCUCCUGUGACUAUAAUACCUCCAAAGCACUGCAGCCCAAGGGCUGAUGUCUAUUUUCUUUUGGCACUGGAUCAUCUCUCCCACAAGGAUCUGCACCAGGAGCUCCUAGGAAGCUGCUGCCCCUGCUUCACACAGUGGGCAGCUGAGAUGCCCAAUGGAUGGACAACCUUCUCUCAGCCUGGAGUGCUUCCCCACUGGGGACUUUUAACAUCAGCCCUGGGGAAUAGACACAGUAACAGCAAAGAGUCUCUGGUGUGCCACUACUGUGAUAUGUCCAAGCUGAGAGCCGCUGGCAAGCUGAUGAGUCUCCUGAUUAGGAGCUGGUAGUGAUCAGACCAUUUACUUGACCUUAAGACACCUUAAGACCUGGAGUAUUGUUAUGCUGCCACCUCUGAAAGGUACCAAAAGUACCUGAAAACAUUUGCUCAUCUAUAACCUGACAAUUAAAUAGCUGUAACAAAGUCUGGAGGUCCCUCCUGAUUUUCCAAAUGCUUGUGUGUUUUAUCAAUCCAAUGGGAAGAACAAGGAAGCAGAGAAGGGGCUUGAAUGUCUUAACUAAACUGGUGGAAGGCAUCCCCUCAGCUCUGCUAAGCU